Molecule: ribosomal RNA, 464 nt
Filed under: uncultured bacterium
Lineage: Bacteria
Description: bacterial SSU rRNA
Rfam family: Bacterial small subunit ribosomal RNA
Source: RNAcentral
GCCAGACUCCUACGGGAGGCAGCAGUGAGGAAUAUUGGUCAAUGGCCGGAAGGCUGAACCAGCCAAGCCGCGUGAAGGACGAAGGUGCCAAGCAUUGUAAACUUCUUUUGUCAAGGGACAAAAUCAGGCUCGAGAGCCUGACCGAGAGUACUUGAAGAAAAAGCAUCGGCUAACUCCGUGCCAGCAGCCGCGGUAAUACGGAGGAUGCGAGCGUUAUCCGGAUUUAUUGGGUUUAAGGGGUGCGUAGGCGGACUGUUAGGUCAGCGGUAAAACCCCGGGGCUCAACCCCGGCGAGCCGUUGAAACUGGCGUUCUUGAGUGGGCGAGAAGUAUGCGGAAUGCGUGGUGUAGCGGUGAAAUGCAUAGAUAUCACGCAGAACUCCGAUUGCGAAGGCAGCAUACCGGCGCCCAACUGACGCUGAGGCACGAAAGCGUGGGUAUCGAACAGGAUUAGAUACCCCAGUA